RNAcentral lists this ribosomal RNA (387 nucleotides) under Tomocerus baudoti L1. RNAcentral's name for it is "partial 28S ribosomal RNA". Lineage: Eukaryota; Metazoa; Arthropoda; Collembola; Entomobryomorpha; Tomoceridae. The record is from RNAcentral.
AGAGAGUUCAAUAGUACGUGAAACCUCUCGGGGGUAAGCGGGCAGAACUUGCAAGUAUUGGUGAGGAGAUUCAGGCUUAGUGUUGGUGACUGAGGGUGCGAAUUAAGUUGUCUGUUCGCAGGCUGACUGAUGUGUGCCCUUUGNUUUGCUGAUGAUGCGCCGCAUUUCUUCUUGCCAUCCGGGUUGCAUGCAACUGAGUGGUAAUUUAGGUGCUGGGNGUCUGCGUGNCCUUGUGGUCCGAGCCCUGGUUUCCAAUUACUCAUGCGGUUGUUGAAAGCGAACAGGCGUUUGUCGCGGUCAAUGUUUUUCACGAGUAGGGUUUGUAUGAUGUGUGGACGGGUAACCGUAGCACGUUGUGCACGCUGAUUGUCAGUGAGAGAUAUUUUG